RNAcentral lists this ribosomal RNA (797 nucleotides) under uncultured bacterium. RNAcentral's name for it is "bacterial SSU rRNA". It matches the Rfam family "Bacterial small subunit ribosomal RNA", at positions 8 to 796 of the family's 1533-position model. The record is from RNAcentral.
AGAGUUUGAUCCUGGCUCAGGAUGAACGCUAGCGACAGGCUUAACACAUGCAAGUCGAGGGGCAGCACGGGAGUAGCAAUACAACUGGUGGCGACCGGCGCACGGGUGAGUAACGCGUAUGCAACCUACCUAUCAGAGGGGAAUAACCCGGCGAAAGUCGGACUAAUACCGCAUAAAACAGGGGCACCGCAUGGUGAUAUUUGUUAAAGAAAUUCGCUGAUAGAUGGGCAUGCGUUCCAUUAGGUAGUUGGUGAGGUAACGGCUCACCAAGCCGACGAUGGAUAGGGGAACUGAGAGGUUGGUCCCCCACACUGGUACUGAGACACGGACCAGACUCCUACGGGAGGCAGCAGUGAGGAAUAUUGGUCAAUGGGCGAGAGCCUGAACCAGCCAAGUCGCGUGAAGGAAGAAGGAUCUAUGGUUCGUAAACUUCUUUUGCAGGGGAAUAAAGUGCAGGACGUGUCCUGUUUUGUAUGUACCCUGAGAAUAAGGAUCGGCUAACUCCGUGCCAGCAGCCGCGGUAAUACGGAGGAUCCGAGCGUUAUCCGGAUUUAUUGGGUUUAAAGGGUGCGUAGGUGGUUUGAUAAGUCAGCGGUGAAAGUUUGCAGCUUAACUGUAAAAAUGCCGUUGAAACUGUCGGACUUGAGUGUAAAUGAGGUAGGCGGAAUGCGUGGUGUAGCGGUGAAAUGCAUAGAUAUCACGCAGAACUCCGAUUGCGAAGGCAGCUUACUAAGCUACAACUGACACUGAAGCACGAAAGCGUGGGGAUCAAACAGGAUUAGAUACCCUGGUAGUCG